GCUGGGCAUGGUGGCGCGUGCCUGUAGUCCCAGCUACUCAGGAGGCUGAAGCAGGAGAAUCACUUGAACCCAGGAGACAGAGGUUGCAGUGAGCUGAGAUCACACCACUGCACUCCAGCCUGGGUAACAGAGUGAGACUCCGUCUCAA
Molecule: non-coding RNA, 148 nt
Filed under: Pan troglodytes (chimpanzee)
Lineage: Eukaryota; Metazoa; Chordata; Mammalia; Primates; Hominidae
Source: Rfam by way of RNAcentral